AAACAGAAGUGUCUUUAGUUUUCUUCCCAACAGCGUCAUGGCGAAGCAAGGCAGCCGGGGGAAAGCGAAGAGGAGAAGAGGACGAGCCCCUCGAGGAACAGGCAGCAGCUGGACCUGGAACAAGAGAACAGUGCGAGGCAGCGAUCCGUGACCGCGGGAACAGUGCGGGGCACGACUGCCCU
Molecule: long non-coding RNA, 182 nt
Filed under: Cavia porcellus (domestic guinea pig)
Lineage: Eukaryota; Metazoa; Chordata; Mammalia; Rodentia; Caviidae
Description: lncRNA (ENSCPOG00000031042.1)
Source: RNAcentral